Molecule: small RNA, 29 nt
Filed under: Bombyx mori (domestic silkworm)
Lineage: Eukaryota; Metazoa; Arthropoda; Insecta; Lepidoptera; Bombycidae
Description: ovarian small RNA-13456
Source: RNAcentral
CCAACCACGAUAUGGGCAUCGACAGGUGG